CAGCAGCCGCGGUAAUACAGGGGGGGCAAGCGUUGUUCGGAAUUACUGGGCGUAAAGGGCUCGUAGGCGGCCCGCUAAGUCCGACGUGAAAUCCCCAAGCUUAACUUGGGAACUGCGUCGGAUACUGGCGGGCUUGAAUCCGGGAGAGGGAUGCGGAAUUCCAGGUGUAGCGGUGAAAUGCGUAGAUAUCUGGAGGUACACCGGUGGCGAAGGCGGCAUCCUGGACCGGUAUUGACGCUGAACAGCGAAAGCCAGGGGAGCAAACGGGAUUAGAUACCCCGGUAGUCCUGGCCCUAAACGAUGAAUGUUUGGUGUGGCGGGUAUCGAUCCCUGCCGUGCCGAAGCUAACGCAUUAAACAUUCCGCCUGGGGAGUACGGUCGCAAGGCUGAAACUCAAAUGAAUUGACGG
RNAcentral lists this ribosomal RNA (409 nucleotides) under uncultured soil bacterium. RNAcentral's name for it is "bacterial SSU rRNA". It matches the Rfam family "Bacterial small subunit ribosomal RNA", at positions 509 to 916 of the family's 1533-position model. The record is from RNAcentral.